GGUAAACGCUGGCGGCGUGCCUAAAACAUGCAAGUCGAACGCACCGUCUUCGGAUGGUGAGUGGCAGACGGCUGAGUAACGCGUGGGUGACGUACCUAUCGGUGGGGAAUAACUGCCCGAAACGGGUAGGGCUAAUACCGCCAUACGCCCGUUCGAUGCAUUUUGUACGGGGAAAGGACUUCGCGAGAGGCGCUGAUGGAGCGGCCCGCGUCCGAUUAGCUGGUUGGUGGGGUAACGGGCCUACCAAGGCGACGAUCGGUAGCUGGUCUCAGAGGAUGAUCAGCCAGACU
RNAcentral lists this ribosomal RNA (290 nucleotides) under uncultured bacterium. RNAcentral describes it as "partial 16S ribosomal RNA". It matches the Rfam family "Bacterial small subunit ribosomal RNA", at positions 28 to 314 of the family's 1533-position model. The record is from RNAcentral.